RNAcentral lists this ribosomal RNA (502 nucleotides) under uncultured bacterium. RNAcentral's name for it is "partial 16S ribosomal RNA". It matches the Rfam family "Bacterial small subunit ribosomal RNA", at positions 30 to 523 of the family's 1533-position model. The record is from RNAcentral.
AUUGAACGCUGGCGGCAGGCUUAACACAUGCAAGUCGAGCGGGGUGAUGGUGCUUGCACUAUCACUUAGCGGCGGACGGGUGAGUAAUGCUUAGGAAUCUGCCUAUUAGUGGGGGACAACAUCUCGAAAGGGAUGCUAAUACCGCAUACGUCCUACGGGGGAAAGCAGGGGAUCACUUGUGACCUUGCGCUAAUAGAUGAGCCUAAGUCGGAUUAGCUAGUUGGUGGGGUAAAGGCCUACCAAGGCGACGAUCUGUAGCGGGUCUGAGAGGAUGAUCCGCCACACUGGGACUGAGACACGGCCCAGACUCCUACGGGAGGCAGCAGUGGGGAAUAUUGGACAAUGGGGGGAACCCUGAUCCAGCCAUGCCGCGUGUGUGAAGAAGGCCUUAUGGUUGUAAAGCACUUUAAGCGAGGAGGAGGCUCUUUAGUUAAUACCUGGAGAUAGUGGACGUUACUCGCAGAAUAAGCACCGGCUAACUCUGUGCCAGCCGCCGCCGUAA